This 72-nucleotide transfer RNA is filed under the name Botryococcus braunii. RNAcentral's name for it is "tRNA-Gly". It matches the Rfam family "tRNA". Rfam says of the family: Transfer RNA (tRNA) molecules are approximately 80 nucleotides in length. Their secondary structure includes four short double-helical elements and three loops (D, anti-codon, and T loops). Further hydrogen bonds mediate the characteristic L-shaped molecular structure. tRNAs have two regions of fundamental functional importance: the anti-codon, which is responsible for specific mRNA codon recognition, and the 3' end, to which the tRNAs corresponding amino acid is attached (by aminoacyl-tRNA synthetases). tRNAs cope with the degeneracy of the genetic code in two manners: having more than one tRNA (with a specific anti-codon) for a particular amino acid; and 'wobble' base-pairing, i.e. permitting non-standard base-pairing at the 3rd anti-codon position. Lineage: Eukaryota; Viridiplantae; Chlorophyta; Trebouxiophyceae. The record is from RNAcentral. RNAcentral also lists the same sequence under 1 other name.
GCGGAUCUAGUUCAGUGGUAGAACGCCAGCCUUCCAAGCUUGAUGUCAGGGGUUCGACUCCCCUGAUCCGCU